GGAAUUUCCUCUUGAUGCUCUCCUUAGAAUCAAUGACUCUUCAAGAUCAGAUUCAACAAAUUUGCGACUAAAGUUUUUUCUCAUCUUAUUGAUUCAUUUCUUAGCGUAAUUCCGUUUCGAUUAAAUUAUUAUUUCGUCGCGAUAUGAGUGUUGAGUGUACAAAAAAGGUAAAGAAAGUAGGUACAAGACAAGAUAAUAAGUAUAUUCGAUAAUGUCAUAUAUUUUAUAUCAUUCGAAAUUGAAUUUUGAUAUACGUUACUGACAAAAUGGGUAGUAUUGAAGGUUCAAUACGUAAAUAUUUAACGCAGUAACGUAUUAUCUGAAGAACAGAAGAUAAUCAUUUAUUUCUCAGUAGAAAGGAUCAGAUGAUUUGGAUUUAACAAAUUUGCCCCCAGAAUUGACGAUAGGAUGGUACACUGCAGCUAUCAGCACUUAUUUGAGCUGAACGCAAUUCCUGAUCUGACGAGACAACAGAUGUUGUAAGAGAAACCUUUGACCUGGACGUCCGGAUUUCUCAAUUUCGGAAAAAAUUUUCUUAUACUCGGUUAUCGAGUGAAGUGUAGUGAGUGUAGUGUAGUGCUUAUUUUCCUGGGACUUCGCUGCCAGCAUUUAUGGAAUGACGGAAGGGUCUUAGAGCACAGUCUUGUCCUUUAAGGACGGGGCUGCUAAGGGAUCUCCUGGAAGUCUUUCCCAACUUUAGCCAUCGAUGGACCAAGAGCGUAAAAGCAAGAUAUAAACGUCAAUGUGAGUCGUUUUCAAUUUUCCCCUGGUGUGGAUUAUAAUCGUGAUGAAUAUAGCGGGAAAACAAUACGUUUCUGAUGCAACUUAACGUUCAUUAAAUACGGGAGAAAUUGCUUUCGGAGUUGGUCAUAAUUUUUAGGCUUCUAGGGAAAUUUGCCACAAAAGGCCAUCUCAACUUCUAAGAUUUUUUUAGUGCUUUCCUCAAAAGUGAUGACCCUUCGAGAACAUAUUCUCCAUAUUUGGAUAUUCUCGUGUCAUUGACUUCCUUCUGUAGUGAUUCAAUUACUUCGUCAAGAUAUGAUUGCAUAUCGUAGUCAAGUUUGGGAACCACUGUUGUAUCCUCUCCGACACCUACUGAUAAAAAUCUCAAUGGAACAGGGCAGAUAUAUCCCUGCUCAAUUUCCAAAUCAGAUAUGGGUAGUUUAUUGCAUUUAUUAUCAUUGAGCGCAGCUGACAAUAGUGGUACAGUUCUCAUGAAAUUAGACAUUAUCUGUAACAAGAUCGGCAAAUCACCUCGAUUAACGGCUGUGAAAUGAAAAGGGUUAACUUGUUAAUCGUUUCGCUAGUGAUAAAAUUAUAGACGAGCGUCUGAAAUUCCGGUUGUAUAGUCCAAAUAUAUUAAAAAUCCGUCUACUGUGAGUUAAUGACAGAAACGCACGUUCUAUUACCGUUUUUAUAACUUUAGAGUUUUCGAUGAUCUGAUUGAUAACGAAUUUGAUGAAUAUUGGUUAGGUUAGGUUAUCAUUUGCGUUCAAAAACUGCUAAGACAUGAAAUUUUUUUAUGUAUACAGAGUAGAAUUCGGCUGCGCGAGUAGAAUCUGUUAG
Molecule: long non-coding RNA, 1566 nt
Organism: Coccinella septempunctata (seven-spotted ladybird)
Lineage: Eukaryota; Metazoa; Arthropoda; Insecta; Coleoptera; Coccinellidae
Exons: 3
Source: RefSeq, a predicted model, not a curated record